UACGUAGGGCGCAAGCGUUAUCCGGAAUUAUUGGGCGUAAAGAGCUCGUAGGCGGUUUGUCGCGUCUGCCGUGAAAGUCCGGGGGCUCAACUCCCGGAUCUGCGGGUGGGUACGGGCAGACUAGAGUGUGGUAGGGGAGACUGGAAGUUCCUGGUGUAGCGGUGAAAUGCGCAGAUAUCAGGAGGAACACCGAUGGCGAAAGCGGCUCACUGGACCACAACGUGACCGCUGGAGGCGACGAAAGCUAGGGGAGCAAACAGG
This 261-nucleotide ribosomal RNA is filed under the name uncultured bacterium. RNAcentral describes it as "partial 16S ribosomal RNA". It matches the Rfam family "Bacterial small subunit ribosomal RNA", at positions 524 to 776 of the family's 1533-position model. The record is from RNAcentral.